RNAcentral lists this unclassified non-coding RNA (216 nucleotides) under uncultured Actinomycetes bacterium. RNAcentral's name for it is "uncultured actinobacterium contains 16S-23S intergenic spacer region". The record is from RNAcentral. Lineage: Bacteria; Bacillati; Actinomycetota; Actinomycetes.
UCCGAGUUGACCCCGGCAGUCUCCCAUGAGUCCCCGGCAUAACCCGCUGGCAACAUGGAACAAGGGUUGCGCUCGUUGCGGGACUUAACCCAACAUCUCACGACACGAGCUGACGACAGCCAUGCGCCACCUGUACACCGGCCUUGCGGAGGCCGUGUCUCCACGGCUUUCCAGUGUAUGUCAAACCCAGGUAAGGUGGGGAUGACGUGAGGAUAG